UGUCCAGCAGCAUAAACACAUCAAAGCGCGUCCUGAUGGCAGCGAGUAAACAGGAAGGGACAGAAAGACAAACACGGCUCCUCGCAACUGCUGGGGGAGAAAAACAACUCUCUCUCCAGGCGGGAGAAGGUUUGCUGCCUGCUCAGCUGCAACCCCCGUGGAGAAAUGAGCCAAGGAAGUGAUACCAGCCAAGAGACAGCCGAGCAAGGAGGCAGCUGGGACAGACGAGUGUGGAUGGAGAGACCUGUCUGAGACUCCAUCAGAGGAGGAGGCAUCCCCAGUGCUGCCUCCCACACCAGCUGUGCUUCGUGGGCCUGAUCCAGUGCCAGGAAAGCCAACACUGUUUCCUGUGUACAAGGGGAGUGGGACAUCAGUCAGCAGAGAUCCCUGAGGGAUGCAGAGCUGAUUUCAGUCCUGGAGAAGGCAACAUGUCUAUUCCAUUAGCUGCCCAA
Molecule: long non-coding RNA, 452 nt
Organism: Pseudopipra pipra
Lineage: Eukaryota; Metazoa; Chordata; Aves; Passeriformes; Pipridae
Exons: 2
Source: RefSeq, a predicted model, not a curated record